CGCCAGACUCCUACGGGAGGCAGCAGUGAGGAAUAUUGGUCAAUGGACGCAAGUCUGAACCAGCCAUGCCGCGUGCAGGAAGACGGCUCUAUGAGUUGUAAACUGCUUUUGUACGAGGGUAAAUCCCGAUACGUGUAUCGGGUUGAAAGUAUCGUACGAAUAAGGAUCGGCUAACUCCGUGCCAGCAGCCGCGGUAAUACGGAGGAUUCAAGCGUUAUCCGGAUUUAUUGGGUUUAAAGGGUGCGUAGACGGAGUUUUAAGUCAGCGAAAAACGCCGGGGGCCAAACCCCGGCGAGCCGUUGAAACUGGCUGUCUUGAGAUGUCGAGAGGUAUGCGGAAUGCGCAGUGUAGCGGUGAAAUGCUUAGAUAUUGCGCAGAACUCCGAUUGCGAAGGCAGCAUACCGGCGGCGAUCUGACGCUGAGGCACGAAAGCGUGGGUAUCGAACAGGAUUAGAUACCCCUGUA
Molecule: ribosomal RNA, 465 nt
Filed under: uncultured bacterium
Lineage: Bacteria
Description: bacterial SSU rRNA
Rfam family: Bacterial small subunit ribosomal RNA
Source: RNAcentral